GCAUUCCCGUCCCCUGCGCCUGCGCAUUGAGUCGGUGUUAAUUUUGUUGAUAUGUCUGCCGCUGGGCUUUAAUAAUAAUUUCUGCAGGUUUUGGUGUCUCAGAGAGUGUCCCGCUCCGCGACCCGGCCUGAUGGAGAACCCCAGAGACCUGAUUCUCUCUCCAAAACUGCAGUUGAAAAUCAUACGAUAUAAGGUGGAGCGUCCGUCCAGGAAACGCCGGGACUCUUUCGGGAUGCUGGACGGCCUGGAGGAGGACCGGAGCAGCUGCAGCACCGAGUCAAGCGGUGGGAGCGGAGCAUCCAGCCCCGAGGACAGCGAGGAAGAAGAGUUAGGAGGAGGAGGAGGGGUGACUCAACUUACACCCACCUCCUCAUCCUUAACGCUCAUAAAGACCAACG
This is a long non-coding RNA of Parambassis ranga (Indian glassy fish), 398 nucleotides long. The record is from Ensembl. NCBI's taxonomy places the organism in Eukaryota, Metazoa, Chordata, Actinopteri, Ambassidae.